GAUGAACGCUGGCGGCGUGCCUAAUACAUGCAAGUCGAGCGAACAGACGAGGAGCUUGCUCCUCUGACGUUAGCGGCGGACGGGUGAGUAACACGUGGAUAACCUACCUAUAAGACUGGGAUAACUUCGGGAAACCGGAGCUAAUACCGGAUAAUAUAUUGAACCGCAUGGUUCAAUAGUGAAUGACGGUUUUGCUGUCACUUAUAGAUGGUUCCGCGCCGCAUUAGCUAGUUGGUAAGGUAACGGCUUACCAAGGCAACGAUGCUUAGCCGACCUGAGAGGGUGAUCGGCCAAACUGGAACUGAGACACGGUCCAGAGUCCUACGGGGGGCAGCAGUAGGGAAUCUUCCGCAAUGGGCGAAAGCAUGACGGAGCAAAGCCGAGUGAGUGAUGAAGGUCUUCGGAUCGUAAAACUCUGUUAUUAGGGAAGAACAAAUGUGUAAGUAACUAUGCACGUCUUGACGGUACCUAAUCAGAAAGCCACGGCUAACUACGUG
This 497-nucleotide ribosomal RNA is filed under the name uncultured bacterium. RNAcentral's name for it is "partial 16S ribosomal RNA". It matches the Rfam family "Bacterial small subunit ribosomal RNA", at positions 28 to 507 of the family's 1533-position model. The record is from RNAcentral.